CCAACGGCCCUUUUAAGGGCCAUCUGUUGUGACCUUGAAAAUGUC
Trichinella papuae is the source of this 45-nucleotide non-coding RNA. NCBI's taxonomy places the organism in Eukaryota, Metazoa, Nematoda, Enoplea, Trichinellida, Trichinellidae. The record is from Rfam.